Molecule: long non-coding RNA, 619 nt
Organism: Condylostylus longicornis
Lineage: Eukaryota; Metazoa; Arthropoda; Insecta; Diptera; Dolichopodidae
Exons: 3
Source: RefSeq, a predicted model, not a curated record
GUGAAAAAUAUAUAGAAAAAAAUAAAUGUAAUUUAAUACAAAAACUUAAAGAUAAACUUUAUGGUGAAUAUUAAGUUAAAUGAAAAUUUUGUGGUUGUUUUGAUAUUCUUAAGGUGAUAUAAUAUAUUUUAAAUAAAUUAAAAAUAAUUACUUAUACAUAUAUAUAAUAUAUGAAUAAAAAUGAAUGUAUAUAAGUAGAUAAAAUUGAAAUUGAAAAAUGAAAUUAUUAAAGUUUAGUGAUUUUUCUUGAAAAAAAAAAAAAUUCGAAAAUCAAAGAAUAAAAAGUACCAAUAUAAGUAUAUAAAGUAAGAUAAUUAAAAUUUUUUAUUACAAUUUAAAAGAAGGUAAUAAUAAAAACAUAUACAAAUAUACUAAUUUAAAAUACGAUCUAAAAUAAAAAAGGAUUUUGAGAAUUUUGAAGUUAUUUUGUGAAAAGAAAAAUAUUCAAAAAGAAAUUUUGUGUUAAAUUUUUCAUCAAUUUAAGAAUUUAAGGUUAUUUCGCAUAAGGUGGCAAAUCAUUUUGGGGAUGAUUCUUUGAUCAACUUCCAGCAAAAAAUUGUAUGGGCACGAGGGGCGUCGGAGAUGUACUCGUUUUCGAGCUACAGCCUGUUAAAUAUAU